GCCCAGCUCGCCCCCUACCAAACGCAAAACGGCGCCGUUUUAACCAAUGAAAAACCCUAACUCUAGCCGUACACUAUAAAACCAUCCUUAUGCCUUCAGCGACCCAUUCGGCCUUCUCUUUGUUUUAGUUUUUCUUCUUUCUUUUCUUCCCCCUUGAUGCGCCGCUGCUUCCUUCUUGUUCUUCUUUGGUUUUUCUUUUCUCUUCAUUCUCUUGUGCCGGUUGCUUCUCUUCUUAUGGUACAUGCCAUUAAGUUCCAUGCUCGGAUCUCCUCUCUUCGUCGUCUCUUGGUGUUCUCACUAUUUUGAAUCUAAACUUGUGAAACUCUCUUUGGAUUUCCACUUUUCUUUCCCCAAAUCCGUGGGGUCUUGCUUGGUUUUUUUGGCCCUUUGUCAUGCCUUGUUUCCUCCCCCAGCCGUGAGCCUCCAAGCUCCGUUUCCUCUCUUGUUUUCCUUUAGUAUUUUGGUGAUUUAUUUUGUGGUUUGCUUA
Long non-coding RNA from Carya illinoinensis, 487 nucleotides. RefSeq lists it as uncharacterized. The transcript has 2 exons. NCBI's taxonomy places the organism in Eukaryota, Viridiplantae, Streptophyta, Magnoliopsida, Fagales, Juglandaceae. The record is from RefSeq and is a predicted model, not a curated record.